This 247-nucleotide ribosomal RNA is filed under the name uncultured Polynucleobacter sp. RNAcentral describes it as "partial 16S ribosomal RNA". It matches the Rfam family "Bacterial small subunit ribosomal RNA", at positions 1 to 250 of the family's 1533-position model. The record is from RNAcentral. Lineage: Bacteria; Pseudomonadati; Pseudomonadota; Betaproteobacteria; Burkholderiales; Burkholderiaceae.
CUCGGAGUUUGAUCCUGGCUCAGAUUGAACGCUGGCGGCAUGCCUUACACAUGCAAGUCGAACGGCAGCACGGGUGCUUGCACCUGGUGCGAGUGGCGGAACGGGUGAGUAACUAUAUCGGAACGUACCUUAUCGUGGGGGAUAACGCAGCGAAAGCUGCGCUAAUACCGCAUACGCCCUGAGGGGGUAAAGCGGGGGACCGUAAGGCCUCGCGCGAUUAGAGCGGCCGAUAUCUGAUUAGCUUGUU